GACGAGGUGGCCGAGUGGUUAAGGCGAUGGACUGCUAACCAUUGUGUCGUGUAGGCAUGGGUUCGAAUUCCAUUCUCGUCG
Molecule: transfer RNA, 81 nt
Filed under: Gasterosteus aculeatus (three-spined stickleback)
Lineage: Eukaryota; Metazoa; Chordata; Actinopteri; Perciformes; Gasterosteidae
Rfam family: tRNA
About the family: Transfer RNA (tRNA) molecules are approximately 80 nucleotides in length. Their secondary structure includes four short double-helical elements and three loops (D, anti-codon, and T loops). Further hydrogen bonds mediate the characteristic L-shaped molecular structure. tRNAs have two regions of fundamental functional importance: the anti-codon, which is responsible for specific mRNA codon recognition, and the 3' end, to which the tRNAs corresponding amino acid is attached (by aminoacyl-tRNA synthetases). tRNAs cope with the degeneracy of the genetic code in two manners: having more than one tRNA (with a specific anti-codon) for a particular amino acid; and 'wobble' base-pairing, i.e. permitting non-standard base-pairing at the 3rd anti-codon position.
Source: Rfam by way of RNAcentral